CAGGAUGAACGCUGGCGGCGUGCCUAAUACAUGCAAGUAGAACGCUGAAGCUUGGUGCUUGCACCGAGCGGAUGAGUUGCGAACGGGUGAGUAACGCGUAGGUAACCUGCCUGGUAGCGGGGGAUAACGUAUUGGAAACGAUAGCUAAUACCGCAUAACAGUCGACAUUGCAUGGAUGGUU
This 181-nucleotide ribosomal RNA is filed under the name uncultured soil bacterium. Its description in RNAcentral is "partial 16S ribosomal RNA". It matches the Rfam family "Bacterial small subunit ribosomal RNA", at positions 25 to 198 of the family's 1533-position model. The record is from RNAcentral.